UGGGGAAUAUUGCACAAUGGGCGCAAGCCUGAUGCAGCGACGCCGUGUGAGGGAUGACGGCCUUCGGGUUGUAAGCCUCUUUCAGUACCGACGAAGCGCAAGUGACGGUAGGUACAGAAGAAGCACCGGCCAACUACGUGCCAGCAGCCGCGGUAAUACGUAGGGUGCGAGCGUUGUCCGGAAUUACUGGGCGUAAAGAGCUCGUAGGUGGUUUGUCGCGUUGUUCGUGAAAACUCACAGCUUAACUGUGGGCGUGCGGGCGAUACGGGCAGACUGGAGUACUGCAGGGGAGACUGGAAUUCCUGGUGUAGCGGUGGAAUGCGCAGAUAUCAGGAGGAACACCGGUGGCGAAGGCGGGUCGCUGGGACGGUACUGACGCUGAGACGCGAAAGCGUGGGGAGCAAACAGGAUUAGAUACCCUGGUAGUCCACGCUGUAAACGAUGGGCACUAGGUGUGGGGGGUGUCGACUCCCCCCGUGCCGGCGCUAACGCAUUAAGUGCCCCGCCUGGGGAGUACGGCCGCAAGGCUA
Molecule: ribosomal RNA, 530 nt
Filed under: uncultured bacterium
Lineage: Bacteria
Description: bacterial SSU rRNA
Rfam family: Bacterial small subunit ribosomal RNA
Source: RNAcentral